AGGAUGUCCACUGUCUAGGAGGGCUCUCUGGGCUUGAGACCUGAACCCUAGGUGACUGAGAGGCUGACUACGGGUGUCUGCGCCACAGAGGGACCCCAAGCAAAGAAGGGGGGCACGACGUGGAUGGAGACGGCAGCCAGAAGAGGGCAGGAGGGCAGGACUGGGAGACAGAGCAGGAUGAGCCUGGCUCCCCCCUCAGGGCUGAUUAACAGCAAACAGCUGGAGGUGAACAUCUGCUCUUCUUCUCCUAGGGGAGGCCUGUCCUUAUUCCCUCAAACUGUACGGAGCCUGCAGACAUCACCCCUCCCCACAAAGGAGACAGGAGGCUGGACAGAGAGAAGAGAAAAGAUAAACAUUCAUCAGUAAACAUCCCCAUUUUGCGGAGGGGAAACUGGCACAGGCAGGGGCGGGUACUUUCCUGAAGUCCCACAGACCUCAAGACUCAAUGCCCGUUGGUCUGGCCCCGAAUCAGACUCUUCUCCAGCUUCGAGGCGCUGGGGGUCUGUCCCCAGCAGGUGCAGCGCCCCCACUUCCCACCCCCAUCCCUGCCCCUUGGCCCAUGGGUUUACCCACGAAGGAGCCCAAAGCUCCACAAAGGAGCUGUGGUGUUGACUGGGUCCCUCGGGGGAGGCGGAACUGGUAGCAAGGCUGGCCCACUUCCCCCGCUUCUUGCUGCCGCAGCUUUUCAGCUCGCAGGCAGGUGGGCAUGGCUGACUUCCCGGAGAGCCUGCUACGUAUCAGGCACUGGGGUAAACAUUUCAGCACAUGACACGUUUCAUCCUCUUAACGGCCCCAUUGAGAUAGGUCCUUUCCCUCUACCCACUUUACAGAUGAGGAAAUUGAGACUCAGAAAUCUGAAGUCAUGCCCAAGAGCACAGAGCUGUAAGCAGCAGAGGUAAGAUUUUCUCUGGAAUCCUCUCUUAUAAGCUCUACACCACUCCCUUGGGUGAUGUGUCCCAUCUCCCUAAAUUGGGAUCCAGCUAGAUUGGAAGAGCAAACCCUUUUUUGCCUGCCCUCUGACCUCCUCUCACCUCCCAGAAAAGGACUGGCCUGGGCUCUGCAUCUAAGACAUGAGGCCACCUCUCCUGGCCCCCGGGGAGUGCUGGGCAGCAGGAAGAAGCCAGACAAGUUAUGAAUCCAGCCUCCUGUCUGCUCUUCCCUGUCAUACGCUGGAAUUCAGCUCCCUCUCGGAUCUGAAGGAAAUGAGUCGAGGGAUAGAGCUGGCACUCGGGAAGUAGAUAAAGGUGCAGGCUCACAUCCUGCUACCUGCUUGCUGUGGGCCCUUGGGCAAAUUACUUAACCUCUCUGUGCCUCAGCGUUGACAUCUAUAAAAUGAGGAAAUAAGACUACCAGGCUCAUAGGGAUAAUGAGAGGAUCGAAUCGCAAAGAGUGGCAGUUUGGAGUAGUGCCCAGCGCACAGUAAAUGCUAUUAUUAUUACUUAUUAUUAUUACUAGAGAGAGAACUUUUUAAAAAGGGAGGCCUGGAAAUAUGGGCAAGUCUAUAAAAAAGACAUGGGUGAUUUUGGGGGGGUCCAGAUUUCCUCAUUUUUCAACGCUGAGGGUUCCCGAGAGGGAAGGAAAGGGUGGAUGGUUUCCAGGUGACAUUCCUCCCUUCCCACCCCCAUCCCCAGGAGAAUAAAAAUUCCUCACAGGUUUCUGUGCUUUCAUGUGGAGCCUGCCAAGCCCUGGCCAGCAUUCCUCUGCUCCUCCUCUUGGGUUGGGGGCUGGCGGAGGGGGUCAUUAGCCCCUUUUACAGCUGUGUAAAGUGUGAGGGCAGACGCCUGUCCCUGAGGUCCCAGGUGGGACCAGCUUGAAGCAGGUGGCUUUGAGGCUGAGGGCUCAGGGAGGAAGCCCACAUGGGUAGCUGUCGGGACUACCUUCCACCCUCACACCAGCACCUGCAAAGUGUGCUGCUGC
RNAcentral lists this long non-coding RNA (1917 nucleotides) under Canis lupus familiaris (dog). RNAcentral describes it as "lncRNA (ENSCAFG00030000976.1)". Lineage: Eukaryota; Metazoa; Chordata; Mammalia; Carnivora; Canidae. The record is from RNAcentral.